Molecule: non-coding RNA, 48 nt
Submitted as: unclassified sequences
Source: Rfam
AUAUCGAAAGCUGUAAGGAAGUGCUUCGCGCGCGGGCUGAAAACAAAU